CCAAACUCUUCCAACCUUUUCCAUUGCCCAGUUCCAAAGCUGCUGUCAUAUUUUCAGGUAUCUUUAUAGCAAUACCCUACUCCCUGGCAACAAUUUCCUGUUGUAGUCCAUUUUUCAUUGCUAUAAAGAAAUAUCUGAGGCUGGGUAAUUUAUUUCAGAAAUGUUUAUUAGGCCCAUGAUUCUGAUAGCUGGAAAUUUCAAGAUUGGGCAUCUGCAGCUGGCAAGGGCCUCGGGAUGCUUCUAUUCAUGGUAGAAGGUGAAAGGGAGCUGGCGUGUGCAUGGAUGACAUGGUGAGAGAGGAAGCAAGAGAGAUAGUGGGGAGAUGCCAGGCUCUUUGCAACAACCAGCUCUUGUGGGGAAUAAUAGGAUUAGGACUCACUCACUCCCUAGGGAGGGCAUUAAUUUAUUCAUGAGGGAUUCUCCCUCAUGACUCAAAUACCUCCUGUAAGGUUCCAUCUCAAAUUUCAAUAUGAGUUUUAUUGAGAGCAAACAUCCAAACUGGAGCACCUCAGAACACUUUUCUCCUUGGAAAUGUCUGUCCUUAUCAAGUAGUCAACAAAUAUUGACUGAGUGUUACUCUCAGGUAGACACAGAGGUGACCAUGACAGAUUCAUUCCUGUUCAGAAGUGACACAGAUAAUAACAUGUAAAGUAAUGAAGUUCAUUUUAUAUACUGUAAAGGAUAAGUCAGAGGUCAGAUCAUGUCACACCUCUGCUCACAACCUACCGGUGAAUCUCAGUUUCAUGCAAAAUUAACUUCAGAGUUUUUACCUCAUUAUUCAAGGUCUGGUAAGAUUUUCACACACUCUCUUCAUCUCUGGUUUGAUGUCCUGUUCCUUUACCCCCUUAUUCACUGCAUGUCAACUACAAGGGCUUUCUUCCUGUUCCUUGAAGUCACACUCUGCCUUUAGGGUAUCUGCACUUGCUGUUUCCUCUUCUCAGACUGAUUUUUCAUAGAUAUCUACAUGGAUAACUCCCUCUCCUACUUUAUUUCCUUGCUAAAUAUUUUUGUCAACUUCUCAAUGAAGCUUACCUUGACCACCUUCUCAAAACGGCAACCCACCUCCAAGUUGGUUCUUCCUCCUCCUCAUUACUAGGCACUAUUGUCUCUAAUACUCACUACCUGCUAACAUACUUACUUACUAUUUUUGCCUCUCUCUCCUUCCAUUAGAAUCUAAGCUUCAUGAGGGCAGAUAUUUUUGCUCAUUUUGUUCAAUGAUUUAGCUCAAGGACUUUUAACGGUAGCUAGCACACAGUAAACAUUCAGUAAAUAGCUGAGAGAAUGAAUAAGGGCUGUAAAGAAAAGAAAACAUGUUGUUAUAAUGUGUGUGCCUGUGUGAAGUACAUAGCUGUGUAUGUGAGAUAGCCUAAGUGCAUGCAUGUAUGUUUUUGUGUGUGCACAUGUGACUGUGGGAUGUAUGUAUAGCUGUUAUGUGUGUGCGGUUCUGUGUGUAAAGACAUGUGUGUAAGGUUGUGCAUGUUUGUGCCCAUGUGUGCCUAUGUGUCAGUACAUGGAUGUAUGUGAGACUGUGUAUGUGUACAUGUGUGCAAGUGUGUGUAGAGCUGUAUGCGCAGGUGUACAGGUGUUUAUGUAUACUUACAUGCAUGCAUGUGUGUUGGUAGAUGUGGAUGUGUGUGAAUGUAUGUGUGAGACUGUGUAUGUAACUAUGUGUGUGACUGUCAUGUAUAUGUAGCUCUGUAGUUAAGUGUAUGUCUAUGUAUCUGUUUAUGAGUUUGGCAUGUGCAUAAGAUUGUAAGUGUAACUGUGUGUAUUCAUGUGUGUGAGUGUCUAGAAGUGUGACUAGAUAUUUGUGUGUGCUUGCAUGUGUGAGUGUCUAUGUGUGGCAGUGAAACUGCAGAUGUGUGUGGCUGUAUCUAUAUUUGUGUGUGUGUGCAUGUGUCUGAGUGUGUGUAAGUCCUAAAUAGCACUCACACUAUUUACAGUGGUCUGAAAACACCUCUCUGGGUGCUCCUUUGCACCUGGCCACUGGGGACACUGCCAAGUCAUGAUGCUGGACUUUGCUGACUUUCUUUUCCAUUCUUUCUGUUUUUCAAAUGUUGACCUUUAGACACAUUUCAGGACAGCACAUUCCUGUGGGAAAUCUGUGAGGUGGAAAAUCAAAAUUCUCCUGAUGACUGUUUAUAAAGAAUAACGGCUAGCUCAUGUCUUCAGUGUUUUAUAGAAGUGCUCACAUGUAAUCUAAACAAGAACUCUACAAGAGAGGUAUCCAGAGCCACAUUUUAUAGAUAAGGAAAUUGAGGCUCAGAGAGGACUAGAAAUUUGGCUAAGCUCCUGCAGCUGAGUUGGGGGCUGCAUCUGACAAGUGGCCGUGGUUUCAAGUCUCUGGAGUCCCAUUUUUUUCUCUUCCAUGGAGUUUGUUUGCUGCAGUUUGAGGAGCCGAGGCAUAUGAUAAAUACCAGCAUGUGGAAACUGAGGCUCAGACAGUUCAAGUCAGCCACCCAAGGAGGUAAGUGGCACCACAAAACCUGAACCCAGGUCUGGUUCACAUCACGUCUAGCUCUUAAGCACUCUGCCGAUGCCCCAACACCUACAUCCUCAGUGUCUGAAUUGAAAAAUAUGAGAAAAUGAGAAACAAAUGCAGGUUUUGGUGGUAUCGGGCCUGGCAUUCGAAUCCCAGCUCUGCCACUUACAGCUGUGCAAGUUUGGAUGAGUGACUCCAUCUUUCUGAGCCUCAGAUCUCUCUUCUGUAAAAUGGGGAUCACCAGGCGAUUGUUUCUGUCUCAGGGCCUUUGAACCUGCUCUUCUGUCUCUGGGACAGUGUCCUCCCCGACCCCCACAUCUGCACAGCUCGCUCCCUCACCUUUCGGUUUGCUCAAACGUGGUCCUCGCAAACCCCUUCCUGGCUACCCUAUUUAAAAUCCUGCACCACCAUUCCGUAGUCCCUAUUCACUACUUGUACUUUAUUUUCCUCCUUAGCACUGACACUGUCCGACAUACUCUAAUUUUUAAAAUUAGAUUUGUGCAAAAGUAAUUGCGGUUUUUACCAUCAAAAGGAAUGGCAAAAACCGCAAUUGCUUUUGUACCAACCUAAUAGUUCUUUGUUUGUUAUCCCUCUUUUCACAAGGUUGCCAUUUCCAGAAGUCAGGGGUUUCUGUCUCUUUCAUUCACUGCUGUAUCCUCAGUGCCUAGAACUGUGCUGGGUACAGAGUAGGAAUAGAAUCAUUUUUUGCUAAAUGAAGGGAUGAAUGAAAGAUACCUACUUUAUUGCUUUUUGCGGGGCUUAAAUGAGAUAAUGUCUAGUAAGCCCACACUGAAGUUCAACAGUUAAGAAAGAGCUCAACCAGUGGUAGUGGUUUACUAUCAUCAUCAUCACCACCACCACCCUCAUAAUCCUCUUCAUUACUGGAAGUGUAUAAGGUGAGCUGUGGAUUCUCAGGCAGAAACCCUGAAAUGAAAGGAUCAGUGUUCCCAUCUUGGCAUAUCUUGGACUUCCUUGAUUCUCUCCUUACCUUAAAGAUGUUGCUUGUGAGGCUGGACACGGUGGCUCACGCCUGUAAUCCCAGCACUUUGGGAAGCCUAGGUGGGUGGAUCACUUGA
RNAcentral lists this long non-coding RNA (3558 nucleotides) under Homo sapiens (human). RNAcentral's name for it is "HSALNT0384895". The record is from RNAcentral. Lineage: Eukaryota; Metazoa; Chordata; Mammalia; Primates; Hominidae.